AGCUACCUGUCUACAGAAAGCUCUAGAAGAGAGGACCCAGAGAGCAAGUGAAUGCGCUUAGAGGCCGCUUAUCUUGAGAAAGUGCUCGCCGAGUCAAUUCUCACAGCCAUAAAAUAGGACGAAGCAGAUAAGCUUUGCGAUUUGAAAGAUGUCGCAAACUUCGUUCGAGGCAAGAAGCUGACAUUUUGGCAUGUCAUCGAAUGCAAUGACCACGUCAUUUUAGCUCACAUUUUAACGAUGACGCUCCUUGGUUUGAGUACUCUGUUGUCGUAAAAACCGACCUAACUCUUGCAGUAAACGUCGCAAAAGGAUCAGUGAAGCGGCUCGGGUCCAAAAUGGUAGUUCCGUCCACGAUCGACAGCAAACGACGGCUACUGGAGUUGCUGGAAGGAGUCGAGGGGUUCGACAGUGCCCAGAGGUCAAGCUCUGAAAACUCAACCACAGACAUCUUCGAGACUGUCGCCUCUCUUCUGAUCGAACUAUCCACAGCACAAGAAAACGAUAACACCCCGACCAUUCAACUGCUCGCUGAGGAAGUGAAGUUAAUGUCAACAAAAAAAGAACGGCGGCGCUACUCCGUAGAAUUUAUGGUGUACUGCUGCAUACUAUUUCUAUAUCGCCUCACGCGUACAAGUACAUGCGCAGUCACGGAAGCAUCAUCGUGCCACACCCAAGAACCAUUCGGUCAAUAUGUUCGUCUUUCGGAAUGAACCCACAACUAGAGCAUCAAGACAAUACAUCCCUCCGCUACAUGGCCAAGAAUAUAUCCGAGUUGAAUGAGCAGCAACGCUACGUGACUGUGAUGGUAGACGAAAUUCAUCUAAAGCCAUUUUUUUACUAUAAGGGAGGCAACAUCGCUGGUAUCGCGUUGAACAACGCAGAAGCAGCAAAUAGUGCAUUUGUAUUUCACAGCCUCAUGUGCAAGUUUAAGGAGGUAGCGCACAUUGUUCCCGUUCAAAAGGCUAAUGGAGAACUUCUGCACAACAUUUUAGGAGAUGUCAUUCGCGGCUUAGAAAAAAUUGGAUAAAAAGUGAUGUGUGUAGUGACCGACACCAACGCCGUGAAUCGAAGCGCAAUGGUGCCGUUUAAGUACUUGGUGAGCAAGGCCCCUCAAGCCGUUUAAAAAAAAUCACUGGCAAAUGAUUUCGGCUUUCCGCACCCAUCAGAUCCCCACAGGCCAUUGUUCUUUGUCAUCGACCCAAUGCAUUUACUGAAGUGCGUGCGACACAACUGGUUAAAACAAAAUGACCAGUGUUUCUGGUUCCCUCAGUUCGAACCAAGCACAGCGGGGCAGCGGCGCAUGCAGUAUGCGUAUUUCUAGACAGUGAAAGACGCAUAUAAUUUAGAGAGUGAGCAGUUACUCCGGUACGGCUAUACUUUGUCAAGAAAAGCUGUUUCUCCAACAGACAUCGAAAAACAGAAUGUUAAACCUGCUUUGCAGGUAUUCAGCGAGUCCGGACCGAAUGCACUUCGAGUCAUUGGAGCCCAGCACAGCCUGAAGCACUACGAAGAAACCGCCAGUUUCACUGAUGUAAUAGUGAGAUGGUGGAAAGUUGUCAACGUAAAGACUCCUUCAAAGGACUGAGACUAAGGGAUGACUUGCAAAAGCCCGUCUACCCUUCUCCAUUCGACCCCAAGGUUUCCUUCUUGAACGAUUUUUUGGACUGGUUGGAGGAGUGGAAGGAAAGGAGAGCGGAUGCCUGUAAGUUGUCUAAUGAGACACCUGUGGCUCUUAUUCAUACGACUGGGGUGUUCAUUGAAAUAUGUGCAUAUUGCUUUGAGGAGCUCAAGAUGUCCUUUGUGCUUCUUGGGAAGUUCCAAACAGACCUUCUGGAAGACCGUUUUGGUUGUUACCGACCACUGGCUGGCUCGCAGUAUCAUUUGUCCGUAAGACAGAUUUACGAGUGCGAGAACAAGUUACGACUGCAAAGCACACUACCACAAAUCAGCACGGCGUCCGCAAUCGACAACGACCAAAAUCAAAAUUGGGAAGAGCUCCAAACGCAGGCAGCAGUGCCAAGUGGAAAAUUCAACGUUGUUGUGACCCAGGAGGCGCUAUCAAAACUGAAGGAUGUCAUUCCAGUGGUUACCUAUGUUGCUGGUUACUCGGUGCACAUCGCUGUGAAGAGGUUAAAAUGCGACAAAUGCACAGAGCUCCUCAAAAUUGACAAGACUGUCGCAGUUUCUCCCGAAAAUCACAUGUACAGUCUUGUCAAAAAAUUGACAGGGGAGGGCUCGUUUACCCAGCAAUGCCAGCUGUGAAUGCGUGGCCACGGAUCUAACACUGCAACUGCUCAGCGACGAGGAGCCUUCAGAUUUCUACGUCUGUGAAAAGGGACACGCAAGUGAAGUGGUGCUCAAAUAUAUAUUGUAGUCCAGCACGAACAUUCAGCUCAAGAAAUUUUGCCGCGGAUUAAACAACAAAGUGUCGGACCCGGACAACAAGACUAAGAAGCAGAAGCUGCAAACUCUAACAAAUAAAUGAAUAAAACGCCGAUGGGUGUAAAUAU
This is a long non-coding RNA of Rhipicephalus sanguineus (brown dog tick), 2510 nucleotides long. RefSeq lists it as uncharacterized. The transcript is spliced from 2 exons. NCBI's taxonomy places the organism in Eukaryota, Metazoa, Arthropoda, Arachnida, Ixodida, Ixodidae. The record is from RefSeq and is a predicted model, not a curated record.